GAUGUGGUGGUUGAUGAGACUUGGAUUUCAAGUUUGCAAGAAAUUGAAGGUGUGUUUAUGUGCUAAUUUGCUUUUUUACUUCUGCAAUUUCACUAUCAGAUGCAGUGAUGUAAAAGAGAGGAAAAUAAACAGUGAGCUUUAGCUUAGUGGUUGUCUUCAGAGCUGUAAGGUUUCAACCCCAAGUCUCAGUAAAAGCCAAAUGAACCGAAAAAGAAAAGAUAGAGGAAAUAACCAUCUUCAUGCUUCUCAGUUGUUUUCUCCAUUGUUCUUCACUUCUUGUAUGCCAACGCAACAUUAUUUCAUUUCUUUCCAGUUUUGGUAUAUGCUUGCAAAAACCUUAGCAGAGGAGGCAACUUGGAGAUUUGUAAAAGAGAAUUCAAUUAACUUGGU
RNAcentral lists this unclassified non-coding RNA (390 nucleotides) under Hevea brasiliensis (rubber tree). Lineage: Eukaryota; Viridiplantae; Streptophyta; Magnoliopsida; Malpighiales; Euphorbiaceae. The record is from RNAcentral.